RNAcentral lists this unclassified non-coding RNA (1041 nucleotides) under Melitaea cinxia (Glanville fritillary). Its description in RNAcentral is "misc RNA ENSMCXG00005012982.1". Lineage: Eukaryota; Metazoa; Arthropoda; Insecta; Lepidoptera; Nymphalidae. The record is from RNAcentral.
UUUUAUGUAUGUUACAUCAGAACUUUUGACCGGGUGGACCGAUUUCGACAAAUUUUGUUUUAAUCAAAAGGUGGUGUGUGCCAAGUGGUCCCAUUUAAAUUUAUUUGAGAUCUAACAACUACUUUUCGAGCUAUAUCUAAUAAUGCGUUUUUACUUGACGCUUUUUUCGUCGACCUACGUUGUAUUAUACCGCAUAACUUUCUACUGGAUGUACCGAUUUUAAUAAUUCUUUUUUUGUUGGAAAGGGGAUAUCCCUAGUUUAGUACCAUGAUAAGAAAACCAGGAUCUGAUGAUGGGAUCUCAGAGAAAUCGAGGGAAACUCUCGAAAAUCCGCAAUAACUUUUUACUGGGUGUAUCGAUUUUGAUAAUUUUUAAUUUAAUCGAAAGCUGAUUUUUGUCAUGUGGUCACAUAUAAAUUUCAUUGAGAUCUGAUAACUACUUUUUGAGUAAUCUUUGAUAACGCGCAGUUACUUAAGUAUUUUUUCGUCGAUCUACAUUGUAUUACUCGUCGAUGUAAUUGAAGUCGUUUUUUUUUCGUUUGCGAGCAAACACAGUUAUUUUUAUUUUUUUUAGUUUUUAGUAUAUAUAUUAUUUAAUAUUUAUUUUCUGACUUAAUAAAAAAUGCGCGACGGGUACACUACAUGCAUUUACAUGCAUUUCAAAUGUACAGUAACAAUAUUUUUAGAAUACGUACACAUUAGAUUGUAAUAUGGUUUUAGAAUUUAUUAGAAGUAAAUCGCCUAGUGACAAACAACAAAAGCAUAAUAAGAAACUCGUCAACAAUAGGUCUAUGUUUGAUCAUUUGGAAAUGUAUGUGUGAGUUUAAACAGAAACGACGCGGUCAUAGUUUACUUUGUAUUAAUUAACCAGUUAGCGUGCAUCGUAAACUUCAAUAAAAGGGAAGUUUUUUGGUAUAAAUAGAAUAGUUGUGGUAGAUCACAAAGAUUUGAAGAAAAUUCAUUAAACUCGAAACACAUAAUUGAAUUUAUUUUUUAUUUUGUAUAAAUGUACUAAUAAAAUUUGCAACAAAAUAUAUAAAAA